GACGAACGCUGGCGGCGUGCUUAACACAUGCAAGUCGAACGGAAAGGCCCUGCUUUUGUGGGGUGCUCGAGUGGCGAACGGGUGAGUAACACGUGAGUAACCUGCCCUUGACUUUGGGAUAACUUCAGGAAACUGGGGCUAAUACCGGAUAGGAGCUCCUGCUGCAUGGUGGGGGUUGGAAAGUUUCGGCGGUUGGGGAUGGACUCGCGGCUUAUCAGCUUGUUGGUGGGGUAGUGGCUUACCAAGGCUUUGACGGGUAGCCGGCCUGAGAGGGUGACCGGCAACAUGGGGACUGAGAUCGGGCCCAGAGCCCUCGGGGGGAGAGAAGGGGGGAAUAUUGAACAAGGGGGGGAGGCCUGAUGCAGCAGCCCCGGGGGGGGGAGGGGGGCCGCGGGUUUGAAACCCGCUUUCGCCGGGGAGGAAGGGGGGGGGAGGGAAGUGGAUAAAGAAGACCGGGCAAAAUCGGGC
Molecule: ribosomal RNA, 468 nt
Filed under: uncultured bacterium
Lineage: Bacteria
Description: partial 16S ribosomal RNA
Rfam family: Bacterial small subunit ribosomal RNA (bases 13-373)
Source: RNAcentral